Molecule: unclassified non-coding RNA, 213 nt
Filed under: uncultured Chrysozymaceae
Lineage: Eukaryota; Fungi; Basidiomycota; Microbotryomycetes
Description: sequence contains ITS2
Source: RNAcentral
ACUCUUCAACCCACCAGUUUCUAGUAAAUUGGAUGGUGUGUGGAUUUUGAGUGUUGCUGGUUCUUUCGGACGUAGCUCAUUCGUAAUACAUUAGCAUCUCAAUUUCGAACUUCGGAUUGACUCAGCGUAAUAGACUAUUCGUUGAGGACACCUCACGGUGGCCGAAUAAGAAGACAGUUAGAAGCUUCUAAUCAGAUCUUAGUCGACUUUUAG